Long non-coding RNA from Mugil cephalus (flathead mullet), 460 nucleotides. RefSeq lists it as uncharacterized. The transcript has 3 exons. The record is from RefSeq and is a predicted model, not a curated record. Lineage: Eukaryota; Metazoa; Chordata; Actinopteri; Mugiliformes; Mugilidae.
CUUCUACAAGUGUCAGUCCUCAGGAAAACAAUCACUACAGAGUUGGAUGGCUGUAACAUCAGUGUCCAGGUCUGAGAUCUCUUCAUUUCUUCUUCCAUUGAUCGUUGGACUGGUUUGUGGAAUUUCACUGAUUAUUCUCCUGCUGCUGCUUCUUUGUUGCUGCAGAAAAAUAAAGGAUGCAUGCAGUAACCGGUUGGUCCAACACUCUUGUCUCAUCUUGAUCAUCAUAACAAUACUUUCCAUGUUCCUUAUUAAACUCCUUCAUGCUUUAGUCUCUCUCAGUCUCUGAACAUCAACCAAGGCUCUGCUACACAGCAAACAGUGAACCAGAAUGAAACUCAAGUUUACUCCUCUCUUCUCCAUGGUCAGCCUUUCCACUCAUUCUUUUCACAACUAUUUCUAACACCCACUUUGACUUUUCAAUCAAAAGCUCAAGUGACUCAUUGGAUGUUGUCUUGAU